RNAcentral lists this ribosomal RNA (253 nucleotides) under uncultured bacterium. Its description in RNAcentral is "partial 16S ribosomal RNA". It matches the Rfam family "Bacterial small subunit ribosomal RNA", at positions 524 to 776 of the family's 1533-position model. The record is from RNAcentral.
UACGUAGGGUCCGAGCGUUGUCCGGAAUUAUUGGGCGUAAAGGGCUCGUAGGCGGUUUGUCGCGUCGGGAGUGAAAACAUCUGGCUUAACUGGGGGCUUGCUUUCGAUACGGGCAGACUGGAGGUAUGCAGGGGAGAACGGAAUUCCUGGUGUAGCGGUGAAAUGCGCAGAUAUCAGGAGGAACACCGGUGGCGAAGGCGGUUCUCUGGGCAUGACCUGACGCUGAGGAGCGAAAGUGUGGGGAGCGAACAGG